RNAcentral lists this ribosomal RNA (496 nucleotides) under uncultured bacterium. RNAcentral describes it as "partial 16S ribosomal RNA". It matches the Rfam family "Bacterial small subunit ribosomal RNA", at positions 28 to 506 of the family's 1533-position model. The record is from RNAcentral.
GAUGAACGCUGGCGGCGUGCCUAAUACAUGCAAGUCGAGCGAACAGACGAGGAGCUUGCUCCUCUGACGUUAGCGGCGGACGGGUGAGUAACACGUGGAUAACCUACCUAUAAGACUGGGAUAACUUCGGGAAACCGGAGCUAAUACCGGAUAAUAUAUUGAACCGCAUGGUUCAAUAGUGAAAGACGGUUUUGCUGUCACUUAUAGAUGGAUCCGCGCCGCAUUAGCUAGUUGGUAAGGUAACGGCUUACCAAGGCAACGAUGCGUAGCCGACCUGAGAGGGUGAUCGGCCACACUGGAACUGAGACGCGGUCCAGACUCCUACGGGAGGCAGCAGUAGGGAAUCUUCCGCAAUGGGCGAAAGCGUGACGGAGCAACGCCGCGUGAGUGAUGAAGGUCUUCGGAUCGUAAAACUCUGUUAUUAGGGAAGAACAAAUGUGUAAGUAACUAUGCACGUCUUGACGGUACCUAAGCAGAAAGCCACGGCUAACUACGU